Molecule: ribosomal RNA, 253 nt
Filed under: uncultured bacterium
Lineage: Bacteria
Description: partial 16S ribosomal RNA
Rfam family: Bacterial small subunit ribosomal RNA
Source: RNAcentral
UACGGAGGGUGCAAGCGUUGCUCGGAAUCAUUGGGCGUAAAGCGCGUGUAGGCGGUCCGGUAAGUCCGCUGUGAAAGUCGAGGGCUCAACCCUCGAAUGCCGGUGGAUACUGUCGGGCUUGAGUACGGGAGAGGCGAGUGGAAUUCCUGGUGUAGCGGUGAAAUGCGCAGAUAUCAGGAGGAACACCGAUUGCGAAGGCAGCUCGCUGGAACGUUACUGACGCUGAGACGCGAAAGCGUGGGGAGCAAACAGG